GAUAAACGCUGGCGGCGCACAUAAGACAUGCAAGUCGAACGAACGAGAGCAAUUCUUUUAGUUUUGUUCAAGUUAGUGGCGGACUGGUGAGUAACGCGUGAGCAACCUGCCUACGAGAGGGGAAUAACAGUUAGAAAUGACUGCUAAUACCGCAUAAGCUGAUAGAACCGCAUGGUUUAGUCAGAAAAGGAGCAAUCCGCUUGUAGAUGGGCUCGCGUCCGAUUAGCUAGUUGGUGAGGUAAAGGCUUACCAAGGCGACGAUCGGUAGCCGGACUGAGAGGUUGAACGGCCACAUUGGGACUGAGAUACGGCCCAG
RNAcentral lists this ribosomal RNA (316 nucleotides) under uncultured bacterium. RNAcentral describes it as "bacterial SSU rRNA". It matches the Rfam family "Bacterial small subunit ribosomal RNA", at positions 28 to 334 of the family's 1533-position model. The record is from RNAcentral.